This is a long non-coding RNA of Carassius carassius (crucian carp), 684 nucleotides long. RefSeq lists it as uncharacterized. NCBI's taxonomy places the organism in Eukaryota, Metazoa, Chordata, Actinopteri, Cypriniformes, Cyprinidae. The record is from RefSeq and is a predicted model, not a curated record. The transcript is spliced from 3 exons.
AGGCAGGUUUAAACAUGCCGACUGUGUUAGCAGCGGAAGAGUUUAAGGCGGAUGAGAUCCUCUGCGUGGCCCUUCACCCAGGAUGGGUGAAAACUGAACUGGGUGGAGAAAAAGCACCACUUGAAUCAAAAGAAAGUGUGGAGGGGAUGCUGCGUGCCAUUGGCAGCCUCACUGAGAAGCAGCACGGAGGAUUCCUGGACUACACUGGAGAAACAAUUCCCUGGUAAACCAGAAGAACAAUAUGGUCGCGAAAAGGCUGAUCCAGGUCCAAACUGACCUAUUUAUCCCAAUAACCAUAAAAGGCACACAAGGAUUUAUGACAGAAACAUGACAAUUUUAUGCAAUUUAAUACAGUAAAACUCUUAUCAAUUAAAUGGUUUUAUUUUGGUUUAAUUUUCAUUCCUUAUCAUGUUUCCGUUUGCCUUAAUUCGGUUUGUUCAAUAUUUUCUAUAGUUACUGAGUACAUUCCCCUGUUCUGUUAAUUAUCUUCUUUACUUUUCCUUGUUAUUUAAGCCCAGUCUUCCCUGUAUUCAAUGUUUGGUGUCAUCUUAGUAGUGUUGUGGUUGCAUUCUCUAUGUAUUCCUUGGAUUUUGAAUUAAAGACUAUGCUGACUGUGUCUUUGUCUUCAUAUGCUUGUCUGUAGCUGCCACUUGUGACACUAAUAUGACACUUGGGGACGUAUGC